UACGAAGGGGGCUAGCGUUGCUCGGAAUCACUGGGCGUAAAGGGUGCGUAGGCGGGUUUUUAAGUCAGAGGUGAAAUCCUGGAGCUCAACUCCAGAACUGCCUUUGAUACUGGCGAGCUUGAGUUCGGGAGAGGUGAGUGGAACUGCGAGUGUAGAGGUGAAAUUCGUAGAUAUUCGCAAGAACACCAGUGGCGAAGGCGGCUCACUGGCCCGAUACUGACGCUGAGGUGCGAAAGCGUGGGGAGCAAACAGG
This 253-nucleotide ribosomal RNA is filed under the name uncultured bacterium. RNAcentral describes it as "partial 16S ribosomal RNA". It matches the Rfam family "Bacterial small subunit ribosomal RNA", at positions 524 to 776 of the family's 1533-position model. The record is from RNAcentral.